RNAcentral lists this ribosomal RNA (235 nucleotides) under uncultured bacterium. RNAcentral describes it as "partial 16S ribosomal RNA". It matches the Rfam family "Bacterial small subunit ribosomal RNA", at positions 15 to 252 of the family's 1533-position model. The record is from RNAcentral.
GAUCCUGGCUCAGAUUGAACGCUGGCGGCAGGCCUAACACAUGCAAGUCGAGCGGAUGAGUGGAGCUUGCUCCAUGAUUCAGCGGCGGACGGGUGAGUAAUGCCUAGGAAUCUGCCUGGUAGUGGGGGACAACGUUUCGAAAGGAACGCUAAUACCGCAUACGUCCUACGGGAGAAAGUGGGGGAUCUUCGGACCUCACGCUAUCAGAUGAGCCUAGGUCGGAUUAGCUAGUUGG